GGCAGUGUAGCUUAAUGGUAAAGCGUCCGCCGUUCAACGCGAAAGACAGCCGUUCGAUUCGGUUCGCUGCCC
RNAcentral lists this transfer RNA (72 nucleotides) under Nostoc sp. RNAcentral describes it as "tRNA-OTHER". It matches the Rfam family "tRNA". From Rfam's summary of the family: Transfer RNA (tRNA) molecules are approximately 80 nucleotides in length. Their secondary structure includes four short double-helical elements and three loops (D, anti-codon, and T loops). Lineage: Bacteria; Bacillati; Cyanobacteriota; Cyanophyceae; Nostocales; Nostocaceae. The record is from RNAcentral. RNAcentral also lists the same sequence under 10 other names.